Papaver somniferum (opium poppy) is the source of this 1613-nucleotide long non-coding RNA. RefSeq lists it as uncharacterized. NCBI's taxonomy places the organism in Eukaryota, Viridiplantae, Streptophyta, Magnoliopsida, Ranunculales, Papaveraceae. The transcript is spliced from 11 exons. The record is from RefSeq and is a predicted model, not a curated record.
AAUGCUAAAAACCCUAACUUCUCUUUCUAAACACAGUUUUCAGAUGGUUCCAAUCUCACUCUUCUCUUCUAAGAUAUUGCAUCAAUUCCAGGAUGGGGAAUUUUAAGUAAAGCAUGUGGCUAGACAAGUAAUGGAGUUGCUGCCGGUACUACAAUAUCAACAGAAAGAACUCGACUACUCAUUCAAUUUUGGGUGAUUCAUAUUUGAUCCAAGAGAUUGCGACUCGCUUAAAGGAAACUGAUUGAGGAGUAAAUGAAGAGGACCAACGGCGUAAACAGGCGGCAGUGGCAACUGAGACUUGAGUGCAUCCAAAACCUCCAUCUCCAGGGCGUUGAAGGUAUUGAAAAUCAAGGCUGUAGCACCGGUGUUUCUUUCAGCUUCUCGCCUAAAAAAAUCGAACAGGGCAUCAUCAGGAUCGGUUGUCCGAACAUAGCUGAGUAAAUCUUUGAAUCUGAUAUCUUCCAUACCAGGGUUAGGAGAUCUUGGCUGGCAUUUGGAUGGGUUGGUGGUGGAAGGCCGUCAGGAAUGGUUUCGAAACGAAAAUCAGGUUUAUAUCAAAUUUCUGCCAUGCUUCAAAGUUUUCUUACAUAGAUGCUUCCAUCAAUUCCAGGAAGGAGAAUUUUAAGUGAAGUAUGUGGGUGGGAGAACUCCACUACUUAUCAAAUUUUGGCUUAUUCAUUGAUUACAUGAGUACCUGCAGUUUGUUUGUUGGUCUCCAUAAAACGGCCAACAGAGCAAAGGAACCCCACAGCUCAAGCUUUCGAGAGUAGAAUUCCAACCACAGUGCGUUAAGAAUACAGCUAUCGACGGGUGAUUCAGGACAUCCUCUUGCGGGCACCAACUUGCUAGUAGUCCCCUUUCUUUAGUUUCGUUUGUAAACUCAGCUGGCAACGUAGCCGACUCACCAAUUACCAGAUUUGAUCCAAGAGAUUGCGACUCACUUAAAGGAAUCCGAUUGAGGAGUAAAUGAAGAGGACCAAUGGUGUAAAUUGGGGGCAGUGGCAGCUGAGACUUGAGUGCAUCUAGAACCUCCAUCUCCAAGGUAUCAAAGAGUGGUAUGACAUCUUGGGUAGCAUUUGAAUCGGUUGGUGGUGGAAGACCGUCAGGAAUUGUUUCGAAACGAAAAUCAGAUGGUUCUAGUCUCAAUCUCCACCUUAUCGAUUUCAUCUCUUCUAAUAUAUCCCAUCAACUGGAGUGGGAAUCUUAAAUAAUGCAUGUGGCUAGACAAGUAAUGGAGUUGCUGCUGGUACUGCAAUAUCAACAAAAAGAAGCUUUGGCUUAUUCAUGUUUGAUCCAAGAGAUAGUGACUCACUUAAAGGAAUCCGAUUAAGAAGCACAUGAAGUGGACCAAUGGCGUAAACAGGAGGUAGUGGCAACUGAGACUUGACUGCAUCCAAAGCCUCCAUCUCCAGGGCAUCAAAGGGUUGGGAUAUCUUGGCUGGCAUUUGGAUUGCUUGGUGGUGGAAGACCGUCAGGUUAUUUGAAAGCCUCUGAAAUGAAGAAUCUUUGCUAGCUUCAUCAUGGAGCUUAUGUGGCUCUGAACUGGGUAUGGUAUGCAAACCACAUGAAUCUUCUCCAUGCUGUUUAAUCUUUGUCUCUCAGUCUCUCAGUCU